GACGAACGCUGGCGGCGUGCUUAACACAUGCAAGUCGAACGGUGAUGCUCCAGCUUGCUGGAGUGGAUCAGUGGCGAACGGGUGAGUAACACGUGAGCAACCUGCCCCAGACUCUGGAAUAAGCGCUGGAAACGGCGUCUAAUACUGGAUACGAAACUGGCCCGCAUGGGCAUGGUUUGGAAAGUUUUUCGGUUUGGGAUGGGCUCGCGGCCUAUCAGCUUGUUGGUGAGGUAAUGGCUCACCAAGGCGACGACGGGUAGCCGGCCUGAGAGGGCGACCGGCCACACUGGGACUGAGACACGGCCCAGACUCCUACGGGAGGCAGCAGUGGGGAAUAUUGCACAAUGGGCGAAGGCCUGAUGCAGCGACGCCGCGUGAGGGAUGACGGCCUUCGGGUUGUAAACCUCUUUCAGCAGGGAAGAAGCGAAAGUGACGGUACCUGCAGAAGAAGCACCGGCUAACUACGUG
This 468-nucleotide ribosomal RNA is filed under the name uncultured bacterium. Its description in RNAcentral is "partial 16S ribosomal RNA". It matches the Rfam family "Bacterial small subunit ribosomal RNA", at positions 28 to 507 of the family's 1533-position model. The record is from RNAcentral.